This 2917-nucleotide long non-coding RNA is filed under the name Homo sapiens (human). RNAcentral's name for it is "non-protein coding LINC00571:10". Lineage: Eukaryota; Metazoa; Chordata; Mammalia; Primates; Hominidae. The record is from RNAcentral.
GCCAAGCUGACACUUAGCGAGCAAGUACGGACCUCUCCUCGCAGGCUCCGGUGGGAAAGGCUCCUGGAAGGGCGCGAGCCAGGAAAGUAGAUGAAGUGAAGAGAUGAAGACUGCGUGGGGUAGUUGUUGGAAAAGCUCGGAUCAUCCCCAACCCAGCCCCGUCUUGUCCGGCCCCAAAAGGCCCAUCUCGGCCGAGCUACUCACACUUUGUACGGCAGCCGUGGGUCCGACGUCAGCGUGAUCUUAAAGGAAACCUUCGACCUGAGGAAAAGAGCGGGAGAGAGUCAGGGUCGGGCAGCUGGACCAGGAAUUAUGGCAGUCGGUAAGCAAACACUUACAUGGUGGUGCCGGAAUGAAUCCAGAACACACGACAACUCCGCGGGGGUAGCACGACUUCCUCUAGUGUGCUGGGGACCGCCCCGCUCCACUCACGUCCACGUCUCCCUCUGCAAUCUGGGGACCUCCGAAGUUGUUGCUAUCCAACGCACUGCCUGAAAAUUGGCCCUAAGAGCUCAUGCUAGAUGGCGCUUUUAAAUUACAAAUAUCUUGUGCUUUUGCGUUUAUAUAUCUAAGAAAAAAGUAUGGAUUAUAUUUAUAAGAUAUCUUUCUAACUUUGGUAAUUUGCUACCAUAUUUUUAGUCAGGCAGAAUAAGCGUGGGCAUAGAGCGUAGGACCCUAGGUUCCAGUUGGCAGGUUGGGGCGGAAGUAAGGGUAUGGGGUAGUCGGAUGAAGAGCGAGAUGGACUUGGGGCGAAGCUCGGGGCGAGGCCGGGGGCGGGGCUGGGGCGGACGCGCUCUAAAGUUUCUAAGGCAACCUGAGCGCGGAAAAGCUUAAUUGGUGCUCCAGAAGCAGGAAUUGUAACACUGCUUUAUCAUUAGUUUUCUUCCGUCUUUCCAGCAAACCAAUCCUGUUAUAUCCUUUACAUUUCUCAUAGUUUCUCCUUCACGCUUUACUUUCCGAUACUGAUUUAUAACUAUUGAAUUUCGGUUAAGUAAGAGAGCUAUCAAGUACGAAUUAUCUAUGCCAAGACUCCCGCUGGGGUGGGUGAGAAAAAAUGAGGUUUCUACGUUUGGGGAACGUGGCGUCUAGUUGGGAAGACACAUCUAUGAACAGGAGAUUUCAGUAAUUUGUUAUAUGGUCUAAUUAAACCAGUGCGCUGAGUUGCUAAUCACUGACCACAUUUAUUCAAUUUAACAACCAACUUUGAACCCUUUCUAUUUGCCCGGCGCUAAGCUAAACUCUGGGGAAUCCAAGAUGAGUAAGGCAGGUAGGCGUCAACUCUCUAGGAUCUAACAUCCUGUGUAGUGAUGACGGAAGAAAAUUGUCCUCUAAACUUUAUUACAGAUCUAAACCUCUGUGUUUGGAAAAUAUGCGUCUGUCUCACAAUGACUGAAAUGCCCUUUUAAAACAUUAGCAUGAAUAGACAAAGGAGGAAGCAGGUAGGCAUUAAAAUAAUGGGGCAAUCUAGUUGAUCUUUAGAAUAUGCAUCAGAUUCUUAAGGAGAGAUACUUAAGAGAGGAACCAGGAAGGAACUGUAGUAGGGAUAAUGGAGAUCAAAUUCAUCUUUACAAUAAUUUUGCAGCCAACUGAUCUUCUAUGGUGACAUUUCCCAGUGGAGAGAGUUCUGGUUCUGAGUAGGCAAGUAAGACUCCAACAUUCUCAUGACAGCCAUCCUCACUUUUUAAAAUAAUGGUCUUACCAUAUAUGUAGAUGAAGCCAAAUAUUGAUUGACAGAUACAGGGAUCAACAGUUACAGCCUUAAUAGCUGAAACUAUUCAAUUAGUGGGUGUGACUAAAACUUGUGAGAAUAGUAAUAAGGAUAAAACUGUGAUUGUGUCUACCUAUUGUCAGCUAGCCAAAUAAUAAUGAAAGAGAUGAGUGUACAUAUUUACAGUCUAUAAGACUACAUAUAAUAUAUUUUGAAACAAAAUUUGCAUCCUGCUAUUUAUAGUUUGGUUUCUGCUCAUGAAUCAAAACGUGGCAAAAUCCUAAAGAGAAAAAUGGAUAUUAAUCAGAGAGCUUUUAUUGUAUGUAUAAAAAGUGGUGAAAACAGAAUUCAGUCCCACAGUGUGACUUUAGUACUCAGAUUCUGCUGCUUCAGAAAAUACAUUUGUAUAAUAUAUCAAAAUAACAUCUCUUGAGAUAUUAAAAAGCAGCUGUUUCUAAAUAUUUAGAAUUCUUUUUCACCUCAGUCCCCAACUCUGCUUCUCAUGUUUGUCUCCUCAGAGUCACAGCAUGAUUUCUGCAGCCUCCUGAGUUUUAUUUUGCUUAGGACAAGAAAGAAAUUAUAAAUGGAUUUAUUUAUAAUCAAUUUUUUUAACUUUGUGAAGGGAUUUGCAAUUGGAAAAUUUUAUAGCAAAACAAGGACCUUCUCUUUUACUGAAAAGUUAAAAUGUUGAAGUACGUUUAAUGGCUGUAAUCAGAAGCAAACUCUGGAGCAAAUUUUUGGAGAUAAUUGGCAAUGGAACAUUUUAAGACAACAAAUAGCAUAAAUGGCCUAAUGUGUUUUGGAAAAGAUCCAAUUAGUAUCAUGUAGAGGCAGAAAUGACUGUAGAAGUGCACAGUGUGACCAUGUUAGACCUCAUUAAAUGUCAAUGAAGCAUACCAAUAUUCUAUUUGCAAAUGCAUAUAAAUUUCCCAUUAUUAGAAGAAAGCCAGAAGGAAAUUAAAUUUACAUAAGGACUAAAAAGAUUUGCUUCCAUAGUCAUAGAAAUUCUUCUGACUAGUUAUUUUUAUAGCCAACUUUAUUUUUUAUAUUCCUCUGGAUGCCAAAAAAAAUUCUUUCAUUUUCACCAUAAUUUGAUUGUAUUUACGAUUAUGACUAGAACCAUCUGAUAGUCAAAUUAUGUAAUCUUGAAACAUCUGCACCUGAAUAAAUCUUAAGGUGUUCUAUUCCAAAUACUUUAUAUUACAGGGA